Gallus gallus (chicken) is the source of this 3046-nucleotide long non-coding RNA. The record is from Ensembl. Lineage: Eukaryota; Metazoa; Chordata; Aves; Galliformes; Phasianidae.
UGGGGAAAGGGAGGCUGAGGGGAGACCUCUUUGCUCUCUUCCAAUAUCUGAAAGGUGCUGACAGAAAGAGCGGGGUUGGUCUCUUCUCACUGGUGACAAAUGACAGGAUGAGGGAAAUGGCCUUAAGUUGCGCCAGGGGACAUUUAGGUUGGAUAUCAGGAAACACUUCUUUGCAGAAAGGGUGGUUAAGCACUGGAAUAGGCUCCCCAGGGAGGUGGUUGAGUCACCAUCCCUGGAUGUGUUUAAAAACUGUCCGGAUGUGGUGCUCGGGGACGUGAUUUAGUGGAGGGUUGUUAGUUAGGGUAGUAUGGUUGGGUUGUGGUUGGACUCAAUGAUCUUUAAGGUCUUUUCCAACACGAGCAAUUCCAUCAUUCUAUGACUCCACUAUCGUACUUAGUAAAUUAGCUUUCCUCCUCGGAUCAUUGCCACUGUUUUGUUUAUAGGCCCAUCUCCCUACCUUUUCCCCUUUCCCAGAGGGGUCCCCUGCCCCAUUAGUCACAGUACGGGGCAGAACCGGCCUGUAAACCAUCAACACCCCCUCGAGCCUCCCCUUUUUGGGCCGGUGGGCCUGCUGUCCCCCCUUGUAACAAAGACAGGCAUAUCUAGAGAGAACUCCAUAACAGCUUUACUACAAUCAGGAAAUAGGUGAUGAAACUAAUUGUAGUUUACAUCAAAAAGAUAAGAGAAAUAUCAAAACAAAACCAAAUACAGAGCGAGCAAAGCAGGAAACAAAUCCAAUCGUUAUAUAACAGCCUCAAAUUAAAGCUAAUGAAUAGCCACAAUACUGUCUCAAAAGGGUUGAAAACACCUGUUCCAACAGCUGAGGCCAAUUGCUCAUUGACUAUAUAAAGUGUGGGUACUCCCUACUAUUAUCUUGCUGCUUUGCAAUAGGUACAGUCCGUUGGGGAGUAACUGCUGUCCUGGGUCGUUGGAGAGCAUAACUAGCCAGGUUUUUCUCUUUACCUGCUCCUGGAAACCCUUUCUAACCGCAUAUUUUGUUCUUAAUUCUUUUCUGCUGACUUCAGUUAACUGCGACUUUCCUAUCGGUUGUUUUUUGUUUUUGUUUGUUCAUGUCUUUACUGUUCUAGUGGGGCUUGAUUUUCUUCUUUGUAGAGUACUGAAGUUACUUAGCAAAUGAGCGUACGCUGGUUUUCUUGGUUGUGGGGAUUACUUGUGAUCGCACACUAACAGGUUUCCACCUUAGUCCAUUGCUUGUGAUCAGGCAAGUUCACUUGUGAUGUGGCAAUUGGUAACCAUCUUGCGUAGUGACCUGGGUGUAGUGAAAUCUACUGUCUUUGGUGGUAGGUGUACAAAUUACCACCAGUGGUCCGCUGUGCCUAUGGGGUGACACUUUAGUCUGCCCUGGGAACUAGUUUGUAAAGCCUCCUGUGAAACUGGCUCUUAGGGCUUUGGGGUUGAAAUGCUGAGGCCUGAUAUAGGUCAACGUUGAUUCAGGGACUAUGGUUGUAGAUUACAAUCUUGCAGUAUAUCCUAUGUUUCUAGUAUUAAUGGUACCUAUGAGAUGUAGUUAACUGAUAUUUUGCUAUAUGAGGAGGAAUACAUUUAUUUAAGUGAUUACCUGCCGAGCUAUGUUAUAAUGUUGAUUGUGCUACAGUAAUGGUAGUACAAUAUCUUUCUUUAUCAUGAUAGAAUUUUUACUAUAAUGUGUUUUACCAGGCUAAGCGUGCUGCAAGGGACCAAAGAGGCCAGUAGUGGACCAAAACAGAUAGCACUUCUCCCUUGGUUCCUCCUUGAACCCUGGCCAGGUUUUGGGAGAAAACCAACAGGAGACAGAGGAAACCAGAUGUUCCGCCUGACUGUUUCAUAGAUUGGUUUGUUUAGUGACACAAAAGCUGGACCUGCUUGCAGCGACUAUGGAGACCUCGACUACGGGGUGGACGCACUGCCGUAGGCCUUCCCAGUUGCCGGGACGGGUUCUCCAGAUCCUCGCUGCAACCAGGGCUCCCCAGCAGCUGCGGAUCUGGAUGGUGGUCAAAGUAGUAGAGUAGUGAUUGAUAAGUAGACUCAAAGUUAAAGAAUUGUUCAGGUUGGACAAGACCUUCAAGAUCAAGUCCAACCACAACUGAACCAUGCAACCCUAACUCUAGCAACCCACUGCUCGAUGAUGUCCUUGAGCACCAUGUCUAGAUUGUUUUUAAACACAUCCCUGUACCUUUCUUAAUCAGUAUUGCUAACUUACAUAGAGUGAUUAAAUGCUUUACUUUGCUUAUUUUCUCUAUCAUUAAGCUUACCUUUUGGCUAUAGGCACUGCUCUAUAUUUGCAUCGUUUUGAAAUGCAGGGUAAAAUACGCUUAUUUCUUCAGUUGGUGUCUGUAUACUUCCUGUUAACCCUGUCAGUUGGCAAAGCUUCUGGUGUCAUAUAGCAGAUUUGAACAAAAUGUCACUGUUUAAAUUUAAGCAGAAUGUCUUCGCUCCAUCUGAGCUUCCUAGAUGUGAGCGGGUUCCAUUUAGUUCACUGGUUCUUGAGCGGACAAAGGUUGGAGAGUUGUUUAAACAGUGUGCAAGUGAGUUGAAAGAAGCCAAACUGCUGAACAUAAUUCAACUGUGUCCAAAAAAAAAAAAAAACACAGAUGAUUGAUAAUGGAGAAGUAACCGGGGGCUUGGGAAGGCAAAGAUGGAUCUUGUUAGCAGCCUGUUGGAACCAGAACCAACGAAAAGAGCAAUUGUUGCCAAGUUUUUCUCACAUAGAGGUAACAAGUGUGUGAUUUGCAGAAUUAGAUUGUGACGUUGCAGUGCCGAAAUAAGUUGUUUGUUGAUAAGCUGGGUCUUUUUCAGAAUGGAGGUGAGAGGGGUGCUGUUGGCGUUGUGCAAUAUGAGAAGAGAACAAAUGAAUCUUAAGGAAGUGCGUUUAGCAAUUGCAGAAGCAGGUAAUGGAAGAGAGCUUUCUGCUCUUCGUCGAAGCCAGACGUGAGUGCCUGCCGCUAAGGACUCAGACUUGUUCUUUCUUCUCCCAUUUUUGAUUUGUUAGGUUUUCUGUUGCUAAUUAUUCUGUAUUAUCUUUAAUAAAUUAUCUCUUCUACUUACA